AAUUACAAACCCAAUAACCUAAACCCUAAUAGCCCAAUACAACCUAAAACAAAAGUAAGCAGAAGAAAGAAAAAACCCUGAAGUUGUAGUGGAGUGGAUUGAAGCAACAAUUCCUAUACCCUUAAAGAUGCAGUGGGAUGAAAUAAGGCUACUUUAAGAAAAGAAGCACCAAAAAGUCAAGAUUCGGCAAAACCAGGCAAAAUUGACCCUUUUAAAAGUCUUUGCUCCAUUCACGCUACACGUCAACGAGCAAAAAAGGGCAACUAUAAUAGGCCAAUUUUGG
Molecule: long non-coding RNA, 283 nt
Filed under: Gossypium barbadense (sea-island cotton)
Lineage: Eukaryota; Viridiplantae; Streptophyta; Magnoliopsida; Malvales; Malvaceae
Description: long non-coding RNA (GBAR_LNC006826)
Source: RNAcentral